AGAGUUUGAUCAUGGCUCAGAUUGAACGCUGGCGGCAGGCCUAACACAUGCAAGUCGAGCGGUAGCACAGAGAGCUUGCUCUCGGGUGACGAGCGGCGGACGGGUGAGUAAUGUCUGGGAAACUGCCUGAUGGAGGGGGAUAACUACUGGAAACGGUAGCUAAUACCGCAUAAUGUCGCAAGACCAAAGUGGGGGACCUUCGGGCCUCAUGCCAUCAGAUGUGCCCAGAUGGGAUUAGCUUGUAGGUGGGGUAACGGCUCACCUAGGCGACGAUCCCUAGCUGGUCUGAGAGGAUGACCAGCCACACUGGAACUGAGACACGGUCCAGACUCCUACGGGAGGCAGCAGUGGGGAAUAUUGCACAAUGGGCGCAAGCCUGAUGCAGCCAUGCCGCGUGUGUGAAGAAGGCCUUCGGGUUGUAAAGCACUUUCAGCGGGGAGGAAGGCGGUGAGGUUAAUAACCUCAUCGAUUGACGUUACCCGCAGAAGAAGCACCGGCUAACUCCGUGCCAGCAGCCGCGGUAAUACGGAGGGUGCAAGCGUUAAUCGGAAUUACUGGGCGUAAAGCGCACGCAGGCGGUCUGUCAAGUCGGAUGUGAAAUCCCCGGGCUUAACCUGGGAACUGCAUUCGAAACUGGCAGGCUAGAGUCUUGUAGAGGGGGGUAGAAUUCCAGGUGUAGCGGUGAAAUGCGUAGAGAUCUGGAGGAAUACCGGUGGCGAAGGCGGCCCCCUGGACAAAGACUGACGCUCAGGUGCGAAAGCGUGGGGAGCAAACAGGAUUAGAUACCCUGGUAGUCCACGCCGUAAACGAUGUCGAUUUGGAGGUUGUGCCCUUGAGGCGUGGCUUCCGGAGCUAACGCGUUAAAUCGACCGCCUGGGGAGUACGGCCGCAAGGUUAAAACUCAAAUGAAUUGACGGGGGCCCGCACAAGCGGUGGAGCAUGUGGUUUAAUUCGAUGCAACGCGAAGAACCUUACCUGGUCUUGACAUCCACAGAACUUAGCAGAGAUGCUUUGGUGCCUUCGGGAACUGUGAGACAGGUGCUGCAUGGCUGUCGUCAGCUCGUGUUGUGAAAUGUUGGGUUAAGUCCCGCAACGAGCGCAACCCUUAUCCUUUGUUGCCAGCGGUCCGGCCGGGAACUCAAAGGAGACUGCCAGUGAUAAACUGGAGGAAGGUGGGGAUGACGUCAAGUCAUCAUGGCCCUUACGACCAGGGCUACACACGUGCUACAAUGGCAUAUACAAAGAGAAGCGACCUCGCGAGAGCAAGCGGACCUCAUAAAGUAUGUCGUAGUCCGGAUUGGAGUCUGCAACUCGACUCCAUGAAGUCGGAAUCGCUAGUAAUCGUAGAUCAGAAUGCUACGGUGAAUACGUUCCCGGGCCUUGUACACACCGCCCGUCACACCAUGGGAGUGGGUUGCAAAAGAAGUAGGUAGCUUAACCUUCGGGAGGGCGCUUACCACUUUGUGAUUCAUGACUGGGGUGAAGUCGUAACAAGGUAACCGUAGGGGAACCUGCGGUUGGAUCACCU
This 1528-nucleotide ribosomal RNA is filed under the name Klebsiella pneumoniae. RNAcentral's name for it is "bacterial SSU rRNA". It matches the Rfam family "Bacterial small subunit ribosomal RNA". The record is from RNAcentral. Lineage: Bacteria; Pseudomonadati; Pseudomonadota; Gammaproteobacteria; Enterobacterales; Enterobacteriaceae.